RNAcentral lists this long non-coding RNA (542 nucleotides) under Salmo salar (Atlantic salmon). Its description in RNAcentral is "lncRNA (ENSSSAG00000088788.1)". The record is from RNAcentral. Lineage: Eukaryota; Metazoa; Chordata; Actinopteri; Salmoniformes; Salmonidae.
GCUGGUAUUGAUGGAUGAUAUAGGUCUCACUCUGCUGGUAUUGAUGGAUGGCAUAGGUCUCACACUCUGCUGGUAUUGAUGGUUGGUAUAGGUCUCACUCUGCUGGUAUUGAUGGAUGGUAUAGGUCUCACUCUGCUGGUAUUGAUGGAUGGUAUAGGUCUCACUCUGCUGGUAUUGAUGGAUGGUAUAGGUCUCACUCUGCUGGUAUUGAUGGCUGGUAUAGGUCUCACUCUGCUGGUAUUGAUGGAUGGUAUAGGUCUCACUCUGCUGGUAUUGAUGGAUGGUACAGGUCUCACUCUGCUGGUAUUGAUGACUGGUAUAGGUCUCACUCUGCUGGUAUUGAUGGAUGGUAUAGGUCUCACACUCUGCUGGUAUUGAUGGCUGGUAUAGGUCUCACACUCUGCUGGUAUUGAUGGAUGGUAUAGGUCUCACACUCUGCUGGUAUUGAUGGAUGGUAUAGGUCUCACUCUGCUGGUAUUGAUGGAUGGUAUAGGUCUCACACUCUGCUGGUAUUGAUGGAUGGUAUAGGUCUCACACUCUGC